Long non-coding RNA from Poecilia latipinna (sailfin molly), 3960 nucleotides. RefSeq lists it as uncharacterized. The transcript has 2 exons. The record is from RefSeq and is a predicted model, not a curated record. NCBI's taxonomy places the organism in Eukaryota, Metazoa, Chordata, Actinopteri, Cyprinodontiformes, Poeciliidae.
ACUGAAAACUAUGCAUCAUUUUCCUUCCUUUCCUUACACACUACUUUGUGUUGGUUUGUUUAAUCCCAGUUUGGAGUUUUGGGCUUGUAAUCUGACAUCAUGUGAAACGGUUCAAGUGGUGUGAAUACGUUUUGGAAGGCUCUGUGUGGUUCAUUUUAGGAGAUUAACUGAUUAAUUCAAAUGAUCGAUCUGUUAGAUUUUAUUUUUAUAUACAUAAAUUCUUCAUUACAUUGAUUUCUUCUUAAUUUUUUUUUUAACUCAUAACUUCAUUACACUGUUUAAACCCAACUAAGCAUUUAAUUGCCAGUCCCAUUGCUUUUGGCAGGAGUCCUUUCCCUCCUCCUGCUUCACAGUGAGGUACAGCUGAGUUUUAGAGGGCGGAAAACGUCCGAGCGCUCCGGCGUUGCCAGGCAGUGAGUAGAGACUUGGCCGCCGUUCAGGGCUGCGUUCAGACAGUGACGUUUGGCCAGAUUCACUGUGGAAGCGGGGGGGCAAAACCGGGUCUAGAGGCAAUCAGGUUAAGAUGAUGCCAGUCGUGGUUUGACUUUGAUGUGACAUAACAAAACUGCGCCAUAUUGCCGUCUGAAGAAUGACUCGCUUAGCUUGGCUGAACAUGGUGGGGCUUCGUUCCUGUUGUCAUGCUGGGAAAACGUUGUGAAGAAUUUUAUAUGUGUGAAAAGUAUUGUGUCAGCAUGGUUCCGUGUGUGAAUACAUGAUGUUACAGUGAUACGACGGCAUUCGUUGAGUGAUUCACUCGUUCAUUCCCCCCCCUCGUUCCCCUCCAUCACUCCCUUCACAGUUUUGCACUUUGAAAGCUCUGAAGCUAGUAAGAUGUUUUUAAUUUUGGGCAAAAAAAAAAAAAAAAAGAAAAACCAAAUACACAUUGGUUGUGUAGGUGAGAUGUGUAAAUAUAGGUAGAUAAAUGAAUAACAUAUAUGUGAAAAAUCGCAAAUGAUUAAAGGGUGAAAAUGAAAGAGUAGAUCUGCGACAGAAGGACGAUUGUUUGUAAUUUGGUUUCAUGUUGAUAAUCACUCCGUCUCAGACUGAAGAUUGUGAUUUCUUUUUAUCCUCUCACUAAUCCUGAUCAUAGCUGUUGUUACUCUUGUGCGUGUGAACCGCUGGACUUUGUAAAAAUGAAUGUUUCGGACUGCCACCAACUAACACUGUUUAUCCGAGGGAGCGCGUCUCUCAUGUCACCUCAUGAUUUUAAUACAAUGUCUGAUAUUACAUCAUAGGCAAAUGUUUUCACUCAAUUGCCAAAAAGAAAGAAAGAAAGAAAAAAAGGAGAUAUGACAUGAAGCAAAAAUGUUCAGCACCCCCUGGGUCUGCGUAUAGAAAGGAUUAAAGAAAGUUUGCAAAAGCAUUUGCACAUCUUGAACUUCACAACUCAACACAUUGCAGCCACAAACCUUGGAUAGUAAGUUUUUUUUUGUUUUUGUUUUUUUUAGCACCAAUUGUGCUCCCCCCCCCCAUGUCCAGAUGAUGAAUUGAACGUUGGUCCAUGAGCUGUUCAAAGCUGAUCGAACUGUUUUAUAAACUAACCCUGCAUUAAACGUCUCCACACCUUUAUCCUUGGCAUGCCUGCUGUGUUGCUUGCUCUCCCUGAUGCUGUUUGUUCACCAAUGUUCUGUUUAAUAUGUACAAAAAAAUGAAAACAAACCUCACAGUUAUGAAGUUAAUUCACGUUGGUUUCAUCUCACAAAACGUAUCGAAGUUUGUGGUUGUAAUAAUAAAAAAGACUAAGUUGAGGGGAAUGAAAACUUUUACAAAGCCCUGUAUACAUGGCUGCUGUCCUCAACAUUUUCACCUUUUCUCAAAAAUCUUUUCUAUUAACAAGCUUUUAAAAUUUGACACACAGAUACCUUAAAACCUCUAAUUAGGGCUUAACCAUCUUUACAUCCUGUCUUUGGCAAACACUGCCACAAACUGCACAGUUUGUUAAAACUGAAAAAAGGAGAGGAAAAAAAAAAGUGUUUUUUUCACUUUUGAGCCGUCCGUUUCGUCCAUGAACUGGGUUCCAGACAAAUAUAGAAAAACACUAAAAGACAAAAUCACAAUGUGUACCGACUGAUUAUUAUGCUAUUUACCUUUUCAACAUACGAAAUAAAAAUCAUGGAUGGAUGCUUUGUUUAUUUUUACCAACAGACUGGAGUGAAUGUAGAAAGCCUUUAAGAUGACAUAAAGUGAUUGUUUUUUUUUUGUCGUAGUUGUUGCACCAAUGCUGAGCAGUAAAUAUGAAGCUGUUGGAUAGAAAUAAAUAAAAUAAAAUAGAUGCCUAAUCUGCAGCCAAUGUGGAUGUUACUGAACAUCAUUUUUUUUUUCUUUUUGAGUGGACAAUUCUCCUUUCAGUUCUACUCCUUUCAAAGCAUAUAUUAUUCACAGGGGUCUUUGUAAACCAGGGUUGCUUGGCAACAUAUUCAAAGGGUGGAAAAAGGGCAGUUUUUGAAGUUCUUUUUCUUUUAAAUAAAAUAUUGUUAUCAGCCCCAGCUGCAAAAAGAGAGCGGAGCAGCAUCGAGUGACCCUCCUAUUCACCGUGAUGCACCGAGAUGCGGCUUUUUCACGUUUUGCUUCAUAAUGGGGCUUCUUUGUGUUGCAGCCAAUGUACAUGAAAAACAUGCAGCCUUUAUGUUUUCUGGGUUGUGUACAGAAAUCUCUUUCAGUCUUCCUAUGCUGCUCAUUCUAUUUGACAGCCAUUUAUUGGAUAUUUCAAUAGCCCCUGCUCUUCUGUUGUCUCUUUGGGAAAUACAAGACAAUGGAAAUGACUGAAAAGCUGAAGCUUUUUACAAACUAGAGAAAACAUUUGGUAUUUUGAGGACGACAAAGACAAAGAAUGCCUUUGUAAAUCAACAGACUUUUAGAUUUUGAAACCAGUGCCACCGUAUCUUAUCCUCACCAUGUAUGCCUAAUUAUGUAGGCGAUAAUACGUUCAAUGUAGUCAUUUUAUUUGCAGUCACAAAUAGUCUAUAUUCUAAAUAUUCCAAUGAAAUUCCACUGGAAGUGAACGCGGGCCACAUUUGACCUACUAAUGGAAGCUUGGAUUAAAAACACCAAAUACUAACUUUUGAAAAAGCCACGACAGGCUCGCUAAAAUAUUGAAAUGAUGCAAUACCAACAAAACAUUUUCAGGUAAAUAGCUGAAACAUGAAAUAGCUGCAACUUUGUGUUUAAAAGAUACUGCGUGAGAACAACCUCACCAGGACAUUUUGACCUAUUUAUUUAAAGGUUUUCGGGGUUAAAUUACAGCUUUGGAAGCAACUGGUUUCCCUCACAAAGCUGCAGAGCUGAAGCAAAUUCUUUUGUAUGUAAUGUGAAAGUGGACCGGCAGAGGGCAGCAAAUCCUAAUUUCCUCCUCUUUUCUCCCAGUCAGUCUAUUGAUCCCGACUGAGGUUAAACUGAUUAUAACUGGCCUGAGCAUUACAGUGAGACUGUAACUGGAUUAUUUUCCUGCCUUAUUGAUGACAUGCUCAAUAACAGACUGUCCAGCAAAGCUCCUAGAAACUGGAGAUAACUUAACCUCCAGGAAAGAAAGGCAAUAAUAACUUAACAAUAAUAAUUAUAGUAAUAAUAAUAAUAAUAAUGUCUUGUUUUUCCAUCUUCAAAGCUGAAGAAGCUUUCAAAGAAAAUAUUAUUCCUGCCCCCAACAGAGAGUGGUAGAGACAGUGUGCGUGAUAGAGAGAGAGAGAGAGAGAGAGAGAGAGAAAGAGAGAGCUUUUUGUGUGUACUUCCAGAUGAGCGAGGAAUGCCCAGAUAUCAACAGAAGCUUUGUUUUGUCAGCUGGAGCGAGGUGGGGCCCAACACCUAAGCACUUGUUUGUUGACUCUGUUCGUCCAGGAAAACCAAAUGGUUUGAAACUAAACGUGCGAGGAGGAAACGGAUUGAGGAAAACACAGAGACGGAAAGGGGAUCGGAGAUAAAGGGAAAGUGCAUGCGACCAGGAUUAUUAGAGAGGGGUGGGGGGGG